Molecule: small RNA, 132 nt
Filed under: Klebsiella pneumoniae
Lineage: Bacteria; Pseudomonadati; Pseudomonadota; Gammaproteobacteria; Enterobacterales; Enterobacteriaceae
Description: RtT sRNA
Rfam family: RtT RNA
About the family: This family represents a bacterial cis-regulatory element known as RtT RNA. The exact function of RtT is unknown although it is thought that it may be involved in changing the cellular response in relation to amino acid starvation.
Source: RNAcentral
UAUUCUGCCCCCCGGGGAAGGAUGAGAAGCUUCGACCAAGGUUCGACUCGAGCGAAACGAGAGAACGUUGCCGCAGGCAACGGCCCGAAGGGCGAGGCGCUUUAGCGCCGAGUAAUCCUUCCCCCACCACCA